AUGGUGCAUUAUCUGAAUUUCCCUCCUAACAUCCUCAACAUCCUCAUGCGCAGUCAACUUCCUCUUGGCAAUGGAUUUGCAUGCAAACUCUUUCCCAGUUGCCUUCUCAAUGCAGAGAAACGUUGUCCCAAAUUGCCCUUGUCCAAGCUUUCUCCCCAAGCUAUAAAUCUCCUUUAAAUUCCCAGUUUUCCUUCCUAACACCGAGUCCGUCUGAAGGCCAGCGCUCGUACUUCUCUUCACAUUAUUGGGUUUCUUGGGCUUUGGAUCCUCCGCAGGCUUAUUGAUCGCCACAUCACUCAUCUCAGGCUUAAUCGAUUUUUCAUGGUCCAUCACUUUAGGUAGUGUUUGAUUGGGGAUCUCAACAGUUUCAGGUGGGGUAUUUUGAAUCGAGGCAUUGUCUUUGUCCGAUCCUUUCUUAGAACCCUCAGAUUUUUUUGAUUCAUCACCAUUGCUGCUGUUUUCUUCUUUGGAAGGAGGCGGCAGCCUGUCCUCCGGUGGCCGCGUACGCCAAACAGCAGCAGUAACAGAUUGUAAGAAUCCAUUAGAACUAAGAUUGGGUCCUACACAAUUGUUCCCCAUCAAAAUACAAACUCAAUCUCAAGUCCUUAUUAGCUCUCUUCCCUGAAAUGUAGGUUCCAAAUUAUCCAGAUUACUGGUCCCUAAUAAUCCCAUCAAUAGAAACCAAUUUGGCUCCAAACAACAACAACUGUUAGAAAACCCUAAUAUGCAACCUUUCUCCUCUAAAUGCACUCUCCCAAAUCAAUCAACGAUAUCAAAACUCCAAAUUUUAUGCUAAUUCAACGGAGAUUUGCUCAUAAAUAUUGUAAUUUAUAAUGAAUCUGAUUUGAAAUUAAAUAACUAUAAACAUUUAAAGAAUUGGAAUCCAAUCUGAUAAUUUACAAACUAGAAGCAGAGUUAGAGAGAUGAAAAGCAUGGAAUUAUUUACUCGUUCAAAAAUGGAGAUCAAAGAAACGAGAGAGAAUCUGAGAGAAAAUUUCCCCAAA
This 1004-nucleotide unclassified non-coding RNA is filed under the name Hevea brasiliensis (rubber tree). Lineage: Eukaryota; Viridiplantae; Streptophyta; Magnoliopsida; Malpighiales; Euphorbiaceae. The record is from RNAcentral.